Molecule: non-coding RNA, 98 nt
Organism: Lentinula edodes (shiitake mushroom)
Lineage: Eukaryota; Fungi; Basidiomycota; Agaricomycetes; Agaricales; Omphalotaceae
Source: Rfam
UGCCCCAUGGCUGAGUUGGUUACAGCGUCCGACUGUUAUUGCACGGUAUACGCAUCAUAUCAAUCGGAAGGUCGAGAGUUCGAGCCUCUCUGGGGCAG